AUUGAACGCUGGCGGCAGGCCUAACACAUGCAAGUCGAGCGGAUGAAGGGAGCUUGCUCCUGGAUUCAGCGGCGGACGGGUGAGUAAUGCCUAGGAAUCUGCCUGGUAGUGGGGGAUAACGUCCGGAAACGGGCGCUAAUACCGCAUACGUCCUGAGGGAGAAAGUGGGGGAUCUUCGGACCUCACGCUAUCAGAUGAGCCUAGGUCGGAUUAGCUAGUUGGUGGGGUAAAGGCCUACCAAGGCGAGGAUCCGUAACUGGUCUGAGAGGAUGAUCAGUCACACUGGAACUGAGACACGGUCCAGACUCCUACGGGAGGCAGCAGUGGGGAAUAUUGGACGAUGGGCGAAAGCCUGAUCCAGCCAUGCCGCGUGUGUGAAGAAGGUCUUCGGAUUGUAAAGCACUUUAAGUUGGGAGGAAGGGCAGUAAGUUAAUACCUUGCUGUUUUGACGUUACCAACAGAAUAAGCACCGGCUAACUUCGUG
This 484-nucleotide ribosomal RNA is filed under the name uncultured bacterium. RNAcentral's name for it is "partial 16S ribosomal RNA". It matches the Rfam family "Bacterial small subunit ribosomal RNA", at positions 30 to 507 of the family's 1533-position model. The record is from RNAcentral.